GGACGAGACUUCAAUGCCGCUUCUUUUUGCUCUGGAAGCACCUGAAGCGUUGGCACGAAGGCUGAAGGCAUCAUGAGGGUCUCUGAGCUACACCCCACCCGCUGCGGGCACCUGCAUCCCGUAAGCCCCCUCCAAGGCAGCGCACUCACACCAUCAGGUCGGCUUUGUUGCUACCUUUCAGCCGUGCCGUUGCGGUGCUGCAGAACUCGGCAUUGCUGCCUGCAGCGCUGCCAUGGUGGUACUUGAUUCCCAGCUCAGGGCUCCUGCUCUGCAUUGCCCGAUCCACUUGGCACAGCUCUGGGGGCAGAACGGAACCCAAAGGAGGCUCUGGACGAUGGACUUUGCUACAGGGAAACCUAAUGCUACCACAGAAAGGGAAGUGAUCAUGGUGUAGCAAUGUGAACUGCCACACAUGGCAAAGCUCGUUUUCCCACCGAGAGCUGGUGUUUUGUGGGACCACAACCUGGUCCCACGAAAGAAGGCAACCUUUCUCCAGUCCACGUAGCAAAACCCCUUCCCACCUUUUCUCAGGCAAGCCUGUCCCUGUGGUACAUGCCCAGCACUCCGGGGAAUCCUACACAGUGCCAUGACCCAAAUCAGCACCCAAGCCUGCCUCACUGCAAAGCAUGCCUGUAAUUUCAACUUGAUGCUGUUCUUUCAUGCAGCAGCUACUGGAAGGCUUGGGGAUCAAGUGCUGUAGGUGUAUGCUUAACACUGCUGAAGUCACUUUGAUCUUCUCCGAGGACAGAAUUUUCUGCAGAUUAAAUUCUCAGCUCUGAACGAUGAGAUCUGAUCCUGGGAGUGAGACAGACUGAAAGCACCAGGCACUGCUGGUGCCAUGCUGCUGUGCUCAUACCUGCCCAAAAGCAAGUUAAAAUGCAAGUCUGGGAGACUUUGUCACAGAGUUUUACCACUGAACAAUACUGAAACGUGUCAAGAAUUAGACAGAACUGCGUGGGAUGCACUCUCUACUCACAGAAAUGUGUGUUUUUCUGGGCACAGAGGAGGUGCUGAGCACCAUCAAUGAACUGACUAUAACGCUAGAAGCAAAUAUUAUGUGACGGAUUUCAUUUGCCAGCAGGGUGGCAAAAUGUCUGUCCAAAGAAGUGCAAACAACGCCCGCCGACCCGCUGAAAUCAGCUGGUGCCAUGCAGCUGCAGGUGGUCACACCUUUGUUUUUCUACAGAAAGUGAAUAUGUAGUUGGAGUUUCCUUAUCUAAGUAGGAAUACCAUCACCUUUGAUCAGGGUUUGUGAGCGAGGGAUAAAGAAGAAGCAGUCUGAUGCACCCACUUGCUAUGGAACUCGGGUCAUUCUGCAGAGGCAAGACGUAUGGGAAACUGUUUUUUUUUUCCUUUGGACAGCUGGUCUCUCCUCUUGACCCCAUUAUGGUGCCCGUGUGGAACUGCCACCCUCUCACCCAGACCUUGGGGCUGCCCAUCACAUCCCACCUGGCUGGGCACCUCCGUGACACCUCCAGUCUGCCCACAGCGAAAGGGUUCAGACACAUGGUUCCUGUCUGUUUUGCACUAACCACCUGCCAGCAAGGUUCGGUGUUACUCAUGAAGGCCAUCCACCCCUGUACACAAUUCUGCCUUCAGCACCGCAUACACACACACUCUGGUCACGCUCUGCAGACCCAGCCCAGAGCUUCUCCGAACAUCAUCACAAAUCACCCUCUGGGAUAUGGUUGCUUACAACAAAUUUAUUUCAACGGAAUUGAAAAACCCUCUUGUUCUGGAGCACAAUUAAUGAAGAGUUGAGGCUGUGUUCAUCUUCUAGUUCCCCACAUCUUUCAUCCCCACCCUGCCCACAUAAUACCUCUGCCUACCUCUGACACUGACGGCAGUGCUAGGCUGCAGAAUAACAGUCCUUUCAACUGAAGAAAAACAAGAGAGAGACACUCAGACAAUAAUUUUAGAAGUGCAUUGUUUCCUGUAGAGCCUCAGUCCUUUCACUCCCAGAACUUGGGCUGACCUGCAUUAGGCACAGACUGCUAUAAAAACGGCCCUCCCUGCGGGUUUGCUGCCCCGUCAUCAUCUCCUUGGGCUCAUCGAGGCGGCACACAGCAGUGCGUGCGUGGCACAGAGCGUGUCACUGGCGCAGCAACCGGUGGGUGAAUCAUAAUGAAACUAUGAAGAGGAAACAUGUCACAAAGGAAAGCUCGCUUUUCAGUGGAGUGCUUCAUCUACAGAAGAGUGCUCAAGUUAAGGAUGCCGAUGAGAGAAUUAACUUGUGCCCUGGUCACUUAAUGCAGCGUUUUAUGCAGUUAUUUACCGGUUCUGUUGCUAUGGGAAAUGUGAAUACUUGCCAUGACAACUGCAGCAGAUCGUGGCACACAACCCACUUCAGCACUGCGUCUUCAUAAGGAAACGCUCCCAUUCAUACGUCCUACAAAUUCUGUGUCCUUGACAGCAGCUCAGCGUGGGGUUUUUAGGCGCAGCCAUUGCUUUUCUGUGUUUUACAGUGGGGUAUUGCCUUGUGUCUAAAAUUGGUUAUUACCUAUUUCUUAGGUAGCUCUUCAAUAUUAGACCUUAAAGCACUUUGCAAAGGUAAACCUUAAAAAAAAUAUAUUAAAAUUAAAAUUAAAAAAAAAAUACAAGAAAAACCCUCUGCUUAAUUUACAGAUGAGAAAAUCAG
Long non-coding RNA from Gallus gallus (chicken), 2638 nucleotides. The record is from Ensembl. NCBI's taxonomy places the organism in Eukaryota, Metazoa, Chordata, Aves, Galliformes, Phasianidae.